GGAGAGGUGGCAGAGUGGCCGAAUGCGGCGGUCUCGAAAACCGUUUACCCUUUGGGGUACGUGAGUUCGAAUCUCACCCUCUCCGCCA
Molecule: transfer RNA, 88 nt
Filed under: Atopobium sp.
Lineage: Bacteria; Bacillati; Actinomycetota; Coriobacteriia; Coriobacteriales; Atopobiaceae
Also listed under: 2 other names
Description: tRNA-Ser
Rfam family: tRNA
About the family: Transfer RNA (tRNA) molecules are approximately 80 nucleotides in length. Their secondary structure includes four short double-helical elements and three loops (D, anti-codon, and T loops).
Source: RNAcentral